UGGGGAAUAUUGGGCAAUGGGCGAAAGCCUGACCCAGCAACGCCGCGUGAAGGAAGAAGGCCUUCGGGUUGUAAACUUCUUUGACCAGGGACGAAACAAAUGACGGUACCUGGAAAACAAGCCACGGCUAACUACGUGCCAGCAGCCGCGGUAAUACGUAGGGAGCGAGCGUUGUCCGGAUUUACUGGGUGUAAAGGGUGCGUAGGCGGCUCUGCAAGUCAGGUGUGAAAACUAUCGGCUUAACUGAUAGACUGCACUUGAAACUGUGGAGCUUGAGUGAAGUAGAGGCAGACGGAAUUCCCGGUGUAGCGGUGAAAUGCGUAGAGAUCGGGAGGAACACCAGUGGCGAAGGCGGUCUGCUGGGCUUUAACUGACGCUGAGGCACGAAAGCAUGGGUAGCAAACAGG
RNAcentral lists this ribosomal RNA (407 nucleotides) under uncultured prokaryote. Its description in RNAcentral is "bacterial SSU rRNA". It matches the Rfam family "Bacterial small subunit ribosomal RNA", at positions 355 to 776 of the family's 1533-position model. The record is from RNAcentral.